This 253-nucleotide ribosomal RNA is filed under the name uncultured prokaryote. RNAcentral's name for it is "partial 16S ribosomal RNA". It matches the Rfam family "Bacterial small subunit ribosomal RNA", at positions 525 to 777 of the family's 1533-position model. The record is from RNAcentral.
ACGUAGGUGGCAAGCGUUGUCCGGAAUUAUUGGGCGUAAAGCGCACGUAGGCGGCUUAGCAAGUCGGAAGUGAAAUCCCACGGCUCAACCAUGGAAGUGCUUUCGAAACUGCUGAGCUUGAGUACGAAAGAGGAUCGCGGAAUUCCCGGUGUAGAGGUGAAAUUCGUAGAUAUCGGGAGGAACACCAGUGGCGAAGGCGGCGAUCUGGGUCGAUACUGACGCUGAGGUGCGAAAGCGUGGGGAGCAAACAGGA